RNA transcript from Melozone crissalis (California towhee), 2251 nucleotides. It is a transcript of the gene named DEAD-box helicase 25, with no coding region annotated. The transcript is spliced from 10 exons. The record is from RefSeq and is a predicted model, not a curated record. NCBI's taxonomy places the organism in Eukaryota, Metazoa, Chordata, Aves, Passeriformes, Passerellidae.
GCAUUGAGCCGUAAUUGAAUCAAGAGGGUGUUUAAUCGAGAGGAGGGAAGGGCUCAGUGCAGUGCGUUUAGAUGCUCAUUUAUGAGUGUGGUGAUAGUAAGUCUGGAAUAAUGGAUGUUGCCUGCAGUGUUUCUAAUGAACCCUCAGAACAAUAAGAUAUCCUCUGGGGAGAGAAGAAGAUUCUCACUGCAAGCCCUUUGUUGUAAACUAAAACAAAAGAAGUUCCCCCUCAGCAUGAGGAAGAACUUCUUGACAUGGAGAGUGGCAGAGAGCUGGGAUGGGCUGCCCAGGGAGGUCCUGGAUUCUCCCUCCUUAGAGACAUUCCAGACCUACAGGAACACGUUCUGUGUCACCUCCAUUUGACCCUGCCUUGGGAGGGGGUUUGGACUGGAUAAUUUCCUGAGAAUCCUUCCAACCCUAAUGAUUCUGUGAUUCCGUUUGUUUUAUUUACGGAGUUGCUGCCUUUCCCAGUGCCGCUGGCUGAGCUGUCACUGAUGAACAAGUUGAUCCACACGUCCCUGGUGGAGUCCCAGCAGCACGUGGAGAUCCUGCAGCGAGACCCCAGCUCCCCUCUCUUUUCCAUCAAGACCUUUGAGGAGCUGCCCCUGAAGAAGGAGCUCCUGCAGGGGGUUUAUAUGAUGGGCUUCAACAGACCAUCCAAAAUCCAGGAGCAGGCCCUGCCCCUCAUGCUGGCUUACCCGCCCCAAAAUCUGAUUGCCCAGAGCCAGUCAGGGACAGGGAAAACAGCAGCUUUUGUCUUGGCCAUGUUGAGCAGAGCCAUUGCCAGCGAGAAAUACCCGCAGUGCCUGUGCCUGGCUCCCACCUACGAGCUGGCCCUGCAGAUCGGGCAGGUGGUGCGCGCCAUUGGCAAGUUCUGCACGGACAUCAAGGUGAACUACGCUGUCCGGGGAAACCGAGUUCUGAAGGGCACAGUGCUGGAGGAGCAGAUCAUCAUCGGAACUCCGGGCACCACCCUGGACUGGUGCUUCAAACAACGCAUCCUGGACCUGACAAAGAUCUCCUUGUUCGUGCUGGAUGAGGCUGACAUCAUGAUCGACACGCAGGGCCUCUCCUGUCAGAGCAUCCGCAUCCACAGGGCUCUUCCCAAGAGCUGCCAAGUGCUGCUGUUCUCAGCCACUUACAAGGAGCCCGUGCGGGCCUUUGCCGAGCGGAUCAUCCCCGACCCCAUCGUGAUCAAGCUGCGGGAGGAGGAGCUCACCCUGAGCAACAUCAGGCAGUACUUCAUGGUGUGCCAGAGCUCAGACGAGCAGUACAAGGCCCUCUGCAACCUCUAUGGCAGCUUCACCAUCGGUCAGGUCAUGAUCUUCUGCCAGACCAGGAGGAUGGCAGACUGGCUGUCGGGGAAGAUGAGCCGGGACGGGCACCAAGUGGCCAUCCUGACAGCAGAGCUGACGGUGGUGCAGCGGGCCAGCGUCAUCCAGCGCUUCCGCGAGGGCAAGGAGAAGGUCCUGAUCGCCACCAACGUCUGUGCCAGAGGCAUUGAUGUGCAGCAGGUGACCACGGUGGUGAACUUUGGGCUGCCCAUGGAUCAGGACGGCGAGCCGGACUUUGAGACCUACCUGCACCGCAUCGGGCGGGCCGGGCGCUUCGGGCACCGCGGCAUCGCCUUCAGCGUGGUGCAGAGGGAGACCGUGCCCCUCGUGCACAAGAUUGAGGAGUAUUUCCGCAUUUUCUCUGCCUUUCCUUGCAAGCGCUUGUCACAGGGGACCUGGUGCCCCAGCUCAGCUCAGCCCUGGCUGUGGGAGAGGAGAUGGCAGCUGUGGAAAUCUUUCCUGAGUGGAAAUUGAUUGUAACUUGCUAACAUCAAGAGGAUUUUCAUGGGAUUUGCCAGAUGCCAGGGCUGCACUGAUGGUUUUUUGAAUCCCAGCGCCUGUUAUCCCUGUGGUUUUUAGAGGAAAGAAGGUUUUAGAAGCCUUCUGAUGGGCAGGAAACUGUGUCCAUUCCACAUCUCCAGCCUCAGAGCCACUCAGCCUCUUGGUUCCUUCAAAUGUCCACCUGUCCUUGGAGCCUGGAGUGAGCCUGAGGCAGACACCAGGCAGAGGAGGCACCAGCCACACAUUCUGGCAGAGAUUGUUGCUGUGGAGUAGAAGCAGUGAACAGCUGGAACAGCUGGCUUGUGGAUGAGCCCAACCACAGCCACGGGCAGCAGGAGCCAGUAGACCACGAUCAAGCAGCUGGAUCCCUACGACAUGGACGAGCUGGAGAAGCUUGCAGCUGAGUGAGGAGCAGG